RNAcentral lists this ribosomal RNA (408 nucleotides) under uncultured rumen bacterium. Its description in RNAcentral is "bacterial SSU rRNA". It matches the Rfam family "Bacterial small subunit ribosomal RNA", at positions 354 to 776 of the family's 1533-position model. The record is from RNAcentral.
GUGGGGAAUAUUGGGCAAUGGGCGCAAGCCUGACCCAGCAACGCCGCGUGAGGGAAGAAGGUCUUCGGAUUGUAAACCUCUGUCCUUGGUGACGAAGGAAGUGACGGUAGCCAAGGAGGAAGCCCCGGCUAACUACGUGCCAGCAGCCGCGGUAAUACGUAGGGGGCGAGCGUUGUCCGGAAUUACUGGGCGUAAAGGGUGCGUAGGCGGUACUUUAAGUUGGAUGUGAAAUACCCGGGCUUAACUUGGGGGGUGCAUCCAAUACUGGAGAACUAGAGUGCAGGAGAGGGAAGCGGAAUUCCUAGUGUAGCGGUGAAAUGCGUAGAUAUUAGGAGGAACACCAGUGGCGAAGGCGGCUUUCUGGACUGUAACUGACGCUGAGGCACGAAAGCGUGGGGAGCAAACAGG